UGCCUAAGGCAUGCAAGUCGAGGGAAGUAUUCCCGCAAGGGAAUUACUACCGGCAGACGGGAGAGUAACACAUUGGUAAUCCACCUCCAAGACGGGGAUAGCUUUCCGAAAGGAAAAUUAAUACCCGAUAGUCACGCGGGGACGUAAGUCAUUCGCGUGUAAAUCUUUUUUGGCUUGGAGAGGAGCCUAUGUUCUAUCAGCUAGUUGGUGAGGUAAUGGCUCACCAAGGCUAUGACGGAUAGGGGACGUGAGAGCGUGAUCCCCCUCACUGGGACUGAGAACUGCCCAGACUCCUACGGGAGGCUGCAGUCAGGAAUAUUCCGCAAUGGACGAAAGUCUGACGGAGCGACGCCGCGUGCAGGAUGACGCCCUUCGGGGUGUAAACUGC
This 388-nucleotide ribosomal RNA is filed under the name uncultured organism. Its description in RNAcentral is "bacterial SSU rRNA". It matches the Rfam family "Bacterial small subunit ribosomal RNA", at positions 45 to 433 of the family's 1533-position model. The record is from RNAcentral.